GAUGAACGCUGGCGGCGUGCCUAAUACAUGCAAGUCGAGCGAACGGACGAGAAGCUUUCUUCUCUGAUGUUAGCGGCGGACGGGUGAGUAACACGUGGAUAACCUACCUAUAAGACUGGGAUAACUUCGGGAAACCGGAGCUAAUACCGGAUAAUAUUUUGAACCGCAUGGUUCAAAAGUGAAAGACGGUCUUGCUGUCACUUAUAGAUGGAUCCGCGCUGCAUUAGCCAGUUGGUAAGGUAACGGCUUACCAAGGCAACGAUGCAUAGCCGACCUGCGAGGGUGAUCGGCCACACUGGAACUGAGACACGGUCCAGACUCCUACGGGAGGCAGCAGUAGGGAAUCUUCCGCAAUGGGGGAAAGCCUGACGGAGCAAAGCCGCGUGAGUGAUGAAGGUCUUCGGAUCGUAAAACUCUGUUAUUAGGGAAGAACAUAUGUGUAAGUAACUGUGCACAUCUUGACGGUACCUAAUCAGAAAGCCACGGCUAACUACGUG
Molecule: ribosomal RNA, 497 nt
Filed under: uncultured bacterium
Lineage: Bacteria
Description: partial 16S ribosomal RNA
Rfam family: Bacterial small subunit ribosomal RNA
Source: RNAcentral